Folsomia candida is the source of this 452-nucleotide long non-coding RNA. RefSeq lists it as uncharacterized. The transcript is spliced from 2 exons. The record is from RefSeq and is a predicted model, not a curated record. NCBI's taxonomy places the organism in Eukaryota, Metazoa, Arthropoda, Collembola, Entomobryomorpha, Isotomidae.
GAUGACGGUUGCGUUGUUCAGUUAUGGGAUUGCUGGAGAAAAUCGAGUUUUAUCACUGGACCAUGCUCUUGUGAUAAGCGGGGCAAUCACAGUAAUGGGAUUAUUGGCUGGAUUUGUGCUGGGUCUGUCGACACUCUACGGUAUAAGUUCGACGACGCGAAAGACUUUCUUUCUGAUUUGGAAUCUGAACGGGCUAAUUGGUGUAGUUCUGGUUGUUGUCCACGUCGCUUUCUUUCAACAGUCUCUGACGUCCAUUGUUAUAUCUAGCUUGGAAAUGCUAAUAAUUAUUAUCGGUAGUAUUGUAGUGUAUAAGUUUAAGUACUCUUAUCAAAUUUAUACCCCAUUCGAAAGUGUAAUUGUUUAAAUAUGCAGUGCUUUGUUCGUAAAAAUUAUGAUGAACUGUUCUUCUCGACAUUUAUUUUCUUGUGUAUGCAAUAAAUGGUUAAUUUGAG